Molecule: non-coding RNA, 1020 nt
Organism: Drosophila melanogaster (fruit fly)
Lineage: Eukaryota; Metazoa; Arthropoda; Insecta; Diptera; Drosophilidae
Source: Ensembl
CUCGACUUUUCUGUUUCGUCUAGCUUUUGUUGAUUUUCCACGUGUACUUUCUGUUUUCUGUCAGUUUUUUUUUCACCCCCACCAAAAGUCUUUAUUCACAUCUAGCGAGUGUAUUCAAUGUGCAACUGCAGCUGAAGCAGAUGUUCUGCCCAAACCGGGUAUUUAUGAAGGAUCUUUCACCGCCUGGUUGGACUUGAAUACCACACUAAGUCGGGUACUGAGCCUGCAAAGCGGGCUCGUAAACACGUAGAAUAUUGGCCAUUAAGUGGUGUCAGAAAGGCCGAGAAUCGAGGAGUGAUGGGCCAUAGAUCAGGCCCAUUCUGAGGCCACCCAGGAAAUCAUUUAAAAGACAUUAAAAUUUAUUUGGGACCUCGUUAAAGUGCCCGCGGUACAAGUACACACAAUAGGCAAUAAAACCUGCGUGCGUCACUCCGAAAAGGUUGUCCUAACAGUAGAUUAUGUAAAUGGCACCGGCCAAACACGUGUUCUCUUAAAGCCUCCCUCAGUCCAACCUGGCGUAUACGCAAUAUCGAGGCUAAGGCUGGCUGUCGGUGAGAUCCUAAGUCGGACAACUGCAGUAAAGCAGCUGGAGCUGCACACCCACAGCCAUAUGUAUAUCCAAAGAUACAGAUACAGCGCAUACAGUCCAUAUGUUGCGUGCAAAUCACAGAGCAGUCGGGAUGUGUUGGUUUUGGGUUCGGGCUGGGUUCCUCAACUAUCUGCUCCUCUGUCCUUCCGUCUGCCAUCGCCGGCUACUAAAGACGUUGCCAACAGGAAGUUUGCAAACCAAAAACGGAAGCACCAAGAUUUAUUAUAAAAAUGCUCAUAGCUCAGGCAGGCAAGCGGCAGCAUAUUACGUUAAAAGUGCCCAACACACACAUAGUCUGGAAAAGUUUUACGUGCGCACAGACACACACAAUGGGAACACUUAGAAAAUAUCUUUUUCGAUGUAUAUAUAAUAAUACUGCCCCAGUUUAAUUUCAUUUAAUAAAUUUCAGUUUGGUUUACUAGCUUUGAGGG